This 253-nucleotide ribosomal RNA is filed under the name uncultured bacterium. RNAcentral's name for it is "partial 16S ribosomal RNA". It matches the Rfam family "Bacterial small subunit ribosomal RNA", at positions 524 to 776 of the family's 1533-position model. The record is from RNAcentral.
UACGAAGGGGGCUAGCGUUGCUCGGAAUCACUGGGCGUAAAGCGCACGUAGGCGGCUUUCUAAGUCGGGGGUGAAAUCCUGGAGCUCAACUCCAGAACUGCCUUCGAUACUGUCGAUCUUGAGUCCGGGAGAGGUGAGUGGAACUCCGAGUGUAGAGGUGAAAUUCGUAGAUAUUCGGAAGAACACCAGUGGCGAAGGCGGCCCUCUGGCGCGACCCUGACGCUGAGGCGCGAAAGCGUGGGGAGCGAACGGG